This 776-nucleotide ribosomal RNA is filed under the name uncultured Neocallimastigales. RNAcentral describes it as "partial large subunit ribosomal RNA". It matches the Rfam family "Eukaryotic large subunit ribosomal RNA", at positions 18 to 644 of the family's 3401-position model. Lineage: Eukaryota; Fungi; Neocallimastigomycota; Neocallimastigomycetes; Neocallimastigales. The record is from RNAcentral.
UCAGACGAUGCGUCAUGCAUAUCAAUAAGCGGAGGAAAAGAAACUAACAAGGAUUCCCCUAGUAACGGCGAGUGAAGCGGGAAGAGCUCAAAUUUGAAAUCUUAAAGGGUUUCCCUUUACGAAUUGUAGUUUAAAGAAGUGUUUUCUGUUGAGGUUUUGGUAAAAGUUCUUUGGAAUAGGACAUCAUAGAGGGUGAGAAUCCCGUAUUUGACCUUUACUUUCAACUUUGUGAUACACUUUCAAAGAGUCGGAUUGUUUGGGAAUGCAGUCCAAAAUGGGUGGUAAAUUUCAUCUAAAGCUAAAUAUUGGCGAGAGACCGAUAGCGAACAAGUACCGUGAGGGAAAGAUGAAAAGAACUUUGAAAAGAGAGUUAAACAGUACGUGAAAUUGUCAAAAGGGAAGUGUUUGACACCAGUGUUGUUUUUCUGAAAAUCAAUUAAAGAACUGUUUAUGCUAAGCUGUUUAGACUUUAUCAGCUAUCUGUUUAGUUUUGAGCUUUUCUUUAAUGCACUUUUCAGUUAACAAGUCAACAUCAAUUUCUUUUGCUGUGAAAAAAGCUUGAGGGAAGGUGGCUUGAGAUUCGUCUUAAGUGUUUAUAGCCUCUUGCCUAUGCAGUCGGAGAGAUUGAGGUCUGCAGCGUAGAUCCUUCGGGGCUAAAUGCAUUUGUGCUAAGUUAUAGCAUUUUAUAGACAACUUGUUGACUAUGAUUUGUCUUGUAGCUUACUCGCUUAUGUUAUUUUACCUACGCUUAGGAUGUUGAAUCUGUGCGAGACUAC